This 396-nucleotide ribosomal RNA is filed under the name uncultured Cyphobasidiales. RNAcentral describes it as "partial 18S ribosomal RNA". It matches the Rfam family "Eukaryotic small subunit ribosomal RNA", at positions 467 to 865 of the family's 1831-position model. The record is from RNAcentral. Lineage: Eukaryota; Fungi; Basidiomycota; Cystobasidiomycetes; Cyphobasidiales.
GUGACAAUAAAUAACAAUAUAGGGCUCUUUUGGGUCUUAUAAUUGGAAUGAGUACAAUUUAAAUCCCUUAACGAGGAUCAAUUGGAGGGCAAGUCUGGNGCCNGCAGCCGCGGUAAUUCCAGCUCCAAUAGCGUAUAUUAAAGUUGUUGCCGUUAAAAAGCUCGUAGUCGAACUUCGGCCUNUGCCGCCCGGUCCGCCUAUUUGGGUGUGUACUGGNGCGGNGGAGGCUUACCUCGNGGUGAGCUANUAUGCCCUUUACUGGGNGUGGNNGGGAACCAUGAUUUUUACUUUGAAAAAAUUAGAGGGUUCAAAGNAGGCUNACGCCCNAAUACAUNANCAUGGAAUAAUAAAAUAGGACGNGCGGUUCUAUUUUGUUGGUUUCUAGGAUCGCCGNAA